UGUGGUAGUUGUCAAAGCUUGAUUUUUUAAACUGUUUGAAGUAUUUUGAAAUCGAUUCAUUUUAAGGUGUUAAAAUAUAGUUAAAAUUAAAGAAAAAAUAUAAAUUAGUGGUUUGUUUAUUGGUGAAUGUUAAGCUAUUAAAAUGACUUCAGAUUCGGACGCUAAUUUAGUAGAGGAGCGACGUUCUGUCUCGCCAAAGGACGACGUUACCAAAGAAAGAAGUAAGAAACGUGAAAAUCGGUCUGAAAAGGGUAAAAAACGUAGUAGCAGGUCUCGUUCAUCAUCUCGAGAGAGACGUAGAAAGGACAGGAAGAGACGAAAAGCAGAUAAUUCGGACGAAGCUGUAAUUUUGCCCAGAUAUUAUGGAGAUGACCGAAGAAAGGAAAACAACGAUAGGUACUGGACAAAGUAUCCAAAAAAAGACGAAAACGUGGUUGGAAAAAGGUAUUAUGACACCAAAAGCAUUGACGAGGAUAAAGUCAAAGGAAAAGAGCCCCAAAAAGAUGCUCCUGAAGACAAAUCCAUUAUCAAACCUCGGGAAAAGAAAACUGUUGACCUCCUUACAUCUAAGACCGGUGGAGCUUACAUACCCCCCGCGAAACUACGCAUGAUGCAAGCUGAAAUUACAGAUAAAUCUUCAGCAGCCUUCCAGAGAAUAGCCUGGGAAGCAUUAAAGAAAUCCAUACACGGUUACAUCAACAAAGUAAAUACCUCCAAUAUCGGUAUUAUAGCCAGAGAAUUACUACACGAAAACAUUAUUCGUGGUAGAGGGCUGCUUUGUAAAUCUAUAAUUCAAGCCCAAGCUGCCUCACCUACUUUUACCAACGUCUAUGCUGCUUUAGUCGCCGUUAUCAACUCAAAGUUUCCAAAUAUCGGGGAAUUGUUAUUGAAGAGAUUGGUCCUACAGUUUAAACGAGGGUUUAAACAGAACAAUAAGACUAUAUGUAUUUCAGCAGCUACCUUUGUAGCACAUUUAGUUAAUCAGUCUGUUGCGCAUGAAAUUCUGGCUCUGGAAAUUCUAACUUUGUUAAUAGAAACACCGACAGAUGAUUCUGUCGAGGUGGCUAUAGCUUUCUUGAAGGAGUGUGGACAAAAACUAACAGAAGUGUCUAGCAGAGGUAUCAAUGCAAUUUUUGAAAUGUUAAGAAACAUUCUUCAUGAGGGACAGCUUGAAAAAAGAAUACAAUAUAUGAUUGAAGUAAUGUUUCAAAUCAGAAAAGAUGGAUUUAAAGACCAUGCUGCCGUAAUUGAAGAACUAGAUGUGGUGGAAGAAGAUGAUCAGUUUACGCAUCUGAUAAAGCUUGAUGACGUCAAACAAGCCGAUUCAGACGAAAUUUUAAAUGUCUUUAAGUUUGACGAUGACUACCAAUUAAAUGAGGGAAAAUACAAGAUUCUGAGUAAAGAAAUCUUACAAACGGACAGUGAAUCUGGCUCAGGAUCAGAAGAGGGAGGAUCGGAUGAUGAAGAGGAUGAUAGUGAUGACGAAGAAGAGGAAGGCGAAGAAGCCAAAGCCAAAGACACCAUUAUUGAUAAUACGGAAACGAAUUUGAUUGUGCUCAGGAGAACAAUAUACUUGACUAUACAGUCUAGUUUGGACUUUGAGGAGUGUGCUCACAAGUUGCUCAAGAUGGAGUUGAAGCCUGGCCAAGAGAUUGAACUGUGUCAUAUGUUCUUGGAUUGCUGUGCUGAACAAAGAACCUACGAAAAAUUCUACGGACUUCUCGCUCAGCGAUUCUGUCAAAUCAACAAAACUUACGUGGAACCGUUUCAACAAAUAUUCAAAGAUACUUAUGCAACCACCCACAGAUUGGACGCGAAUAGGUUGAGAAACGUGAGCAAAUUCUUUGCUCAUUUAUUAUUCACCGAUGCCAUCGGUUGGGAGGUCUUGGAAAUAAUGAAGAUGAACGAGGAAGACACUAAUAGUUCCAGUAGAAUUUUUAUCAAAAUUCUCUUUCAAGAAUUGGCAGAGUAUAUGGGACUGGGAAAACUGAACGCCAGACUAAAGGACCCGACUCUCCAAGGCCAUUUUGCUGGACUCUUUCCCAGAGAUAACCCGAAAAAUACUCGGUUUUCUAUCAAUUUUUUCACGUCCAUUGGUCUGGGUGGUCUCACUGAUGAACUUAGGGAACACUUGAAGAACAUCCCGAAAAAUCUGCCUGUUGUAACAAAAGAAGAGAGUGAAGAAAGCAGCAGUAGCAGUUCGUCCAGUUCAGAAUCUUCUGAUCAAGAUAGUAGCUCAGAAAGUUCAAGCGAUUCGGAAGAAGAUAGAAGAAGAAGAAAGAAAAAAGAUAAAAAACAAAGCAAUAAAAAAGAAUCUAAAAAAAGUACGAAAAACGACAGUAAGUCUAAAGAUGAAAAAAGGAAAGAUAAUAAAAACAGAAAAGAAAGAAACAAAGAAGAGUCGGAAGACAGUGAUAGUAACAAGAAACAUGAAAGAAAUGCCAGAAAAAAAGAUUACCAAUGGAUGAAGAGUCGCUAUGAAGACAAUAUCUCACAAUUGAAGAACAAGAGAAGAGAUUUUGAGAGGCCCAGAUCUAGAGAUAGGAAUAGAGUAAAGGUGGAAAAGGAGAGAAGAUCGAGGUCGCGUGAGAGGUACCACAGAGCGGAUAAUAACGAUCACAGAGAGAGAACGAAAAGAGACAGGAGAAGAAGUUAGGUUAAGUUUAUAUUAUUUUGUAUAGCAUAGAAAUAUAACAUUUAUUUUAUUUCAUCUUUUUUCAGGUGUAACAGAUUUUUAUAAUUAAUUAUAUAAAAAUAAUGUAACAGAGUUUACAUUCUAAAAAGUGGGUAAAAUAGAAAUAUUAUUUUGAGAAUAAAAAUUUUUAGUUGGAAAUUUUAUAUGA
This 2843-nucleotide unclassified non-coding RNA is filed under the name Sitophilus oryzae (rice weevil). Its description in RNAcentral is "pre-mRNA-splicing factor CWC22 homolog, transcript variant X3". The record is from RNAcentral. Lineage: Eukaryota; Metazoa; Arthropoda; Insecta; Coleoptera; Curculionidae.